RNAcentral lists this ribosomal RNA (429 nucleotides) under Pseudomonadota bacterium. RNAcentral describes it as "Proteobacteria bacterium partial 16S ribosomal RNA". It matches the Rfam family "Bacterial small subunit ribosomal RNA", at positions 355 to 776 of the family's 1533-position model. The record is from RNAcentral. Lineage: Bacteria; Pseudomonadati; Pseudomonadota.
UGGGGAAUAUUGGACAAUGGGCGAAAGCCUGAUCCAGCCAUGCCGCGUGUGUGAAGAAGGUCUUCGGAUUGUAAAGCACUUUAAGUUGGGAGGAAGGGCAGUAAGCGAAUACCUUGCUGUUUUGACGUUACCGACAGAAUAAGCACCGGCUAACUCUGUGCCAGCAGCCGCGGUAAUACAGAGGGUGCAAGCGUUAAUCGGAAUUACUGGGCGUAAAGCGCGCGUAGGUGGUUCGUUAAGUUGAAUGUGAAAGCCCCGGGCUCAACCUGGGAACUGCAGCCAAAACUUGCGAGCUAGAGUAGGGCAGAGGGUGGUGGAAUUUCCUGUGUAGCGGUGAAAUGCGUAGAUAUAGGAAGGAACACCAGUGGCGAAGGCGACCACCUGGGCUCAUACUGACACUGGGGUGCGAAAGCGUGGGGAGCAAACAGG